UACGAAGGGGGCUAGCGUUGUUCGGAUUUACUGGGCGUAAAGCGCGUGUAGGCGGACCCGUAAGUUGGGGGUGAAAGCCCAGAGCUCAACUCUGGAAUUGCCUUCAAAACUGCAGGUCUGGACUCAAGGAGAGGCGAGUGGAAUUGCGAGUGUAGAGGUGAAAUUCGUAGAUAUUCGCAGGAACACCAGUGGCGAAGGCGACUCGCUGGACUUGUAGUGACGCUGAGACGCGAAAGCGUGGGGAGCAAACAGG
This 253-nucleotide ribosomal RNA is filed under the name uncultured bacterium. RNAcentral describes it as "partial 16S ribosomal RNA". It matches the Rfam family "Bacterial small subunit ribosomal RNA", at positions 524 to 776 of the family's 1533-position model. The record is from RNAcentral.